Non-coding RNA from Pyronema omphalodes CBS 100304, 85 nucleotides. The record is from Rfam. Lineage: Eukaryota; Fungi; Ascomycota; Pezizomycetes; Pezizales; Pyronemataceae.
UCCUCGGUAGUAUAGUGGUUAGUAUUUCCGCCUGUCACUACCUGAUAGUUCGCGGGAGACCGGGGUUCAAUUCCCCGCCGAGGAG